RNAcentral lists this unclassified non-coding RNA (231 nucleotides) under Hevea brasiliensis (rubber tree). Lineage: Eukaryota; Viridiplantae; Streptophyta; Magnoliopsida; Malpighiales; Euphorbiaceae. The record is from RNAcentral.
AGAGAGAGAGAGAGAGGGAGAAAGCUCUCUUAAUCCUAUAUAUGGUAUAUAAUAUAGUCCAAAGUUAUAAAUCAAAUUUAAUCAUAAAUAUAAAUUCCUUCUGAACAAAAUAUUAUUCACCCAAUAGCACUAUCAUGUUCAUGUACAACAACCUUGGCCAAAUAUUACACAAAAUUUUAGAAACAGAAAAAUAGCAACAUACUUUAAUUAGGACACGACUUCAAAAUGAAU